Molecule: small nuclear RNA, 162 nt
Organism: Echinops telfairi (small Madagascar hedgehog)
Lineage: Eukaryota; Metazoa; Chordata; Mammalia; Afrosoricida; Tenrecidae
Gene: U1
Rfam family: U1 spliceosomal RNA
About the family: U1 is a small nuclear RNA (snRNA) component of the spliceosome (involved in pre-mRNA splicing). Its 5' end forms complementary base pairs with the 5' splice junction, thus defining the 5' donor site of an intron.
Source: Ensembl
UUGCUCACCUGUCAGGGGAGAUCGCCUGACCAGGAAGAUGGCUUUCGCAGGCCUGCCUUCCCCACUGCACCCAGAUGGCCGGAUGUGCUGACCUCAGGAGUUCCCCCAAAUUGGGGAAACUGCUUAAUUUGUGGUAGUGGGAGGGGACUGCCUUUGCAAAUU